RNAcentral lists this long non-coding RNA (14490 nucleotides) under Homo sapiens (human). RNAcentral's name for it is "HSALNT0319265". The record is from RNAcentral. Lineage: Eukaryota; Metazoa; Chordata; Mammalia; Primates; Hominidae.
GUGCGUGGCGUGUCCGCUGGACCAGGGGACGGGGGCGCGCCGCAGGUGUAGGAGCUUUGCGCGCCUACCUGGCGGUCGUGGGUCGAGGAGGGGUCAAGAAUUGUUGUCUAGCAGCCCUCUCCCCGCUGCCCUGUCCUGGCCGAGGCAAAGGCCGCGUGCGCUCCGCGUCUGCCAGGCUUUAGGGCUGCGCGGACACUGGGUGGGUGGUGGGCCGAGGCGACCGGAAGGUCCUGGCCGCCUUUCCGGUCUCCUCAGCACCCUGGAGCGCCGCCCUCGGGUUUCGGUCUCCUGGAUCUGCGGGUCGGUCUCGGCGGGCGGAUUACUCCUCGCCCACAACCUCGAGGCCCCGGGGUCAACCGCGCCCUCCGGGCCGGCAACCCAGGGUUUAGUCAGAUUCCUCCUGACCCACCGCUUCUGGGAAAGAGGCGCCUCCCGUCAGGAGGAUGCUGAGUUCCUCAUGACUGGACCAGUGAGUGUCCACUCCCUGGUCCCUGGCGAGAGAGGCGGGACCCCCACGCCCUCCUGGCGCUCUUUGCAGAGAUGUUCCUCAGGCCCAAUCCGGGAUUUGGGAUGUCUGUGCGUGCUGUGGAGCAGAGAGUUUGCAACAUGGUCUCACUUUGUCACCCAGGCUGGAAUGCAUUGGCAUGAACACGUCUCACUGCAGCCUCAACCUCCCAGGCUGAAGUGACCCUCCAACUCUGCUUUCACAGUAGCUGUGAUAUGGUUUGGCUGUGUCCCCACCCACAUCUCAUCUUAAAACCCAGUGGGAGGUAAUUGAAUCAUGGGGGCAAGUCUUUCCUGUGCUGUUCUUGUGAUAGUGAAUAAGUCUCAUGAGAUCUGAUGGUUUUUAAAAGAGUUCAGCCUGGGCAAAAUUGAAGACUCUGUCUCCAAAAAAAAAAAAAAGGAGUUCCUCUGCAUAAGCUCUCUCUCUUUGCCUGCUGCCAUCCAUGUAAGAUGUGACUUGCUCUUCCUUGCCCUAUGAUUGUGAGUCUUUCCCCAGCCACGUGGAACUGUAAGUCCAAAUAAACCUCUUUCUUUUGUAAAUUGCCCAGUCUUGGGUAUGUCUAUCAGCAGCAUGGAAAUGGACUAAUACAGUAAAUUGGUACCAGUAGAGUGGGGUGUUGCUGAAAAGAUACCUGAAAAUGUGAAAGUGACUUUGGAACUGGGUAGCAGGCAAACAUUGGAACAGUUUGGAGGGCUCAGAAGAAGACAGGAAAAUGUAGGAAAGUUUGGAACUUCCUAGAGACUUGUUGAAUGGCAUUGACAAAAAUGCUAAUAGUGAUACGAACAAUAAGAUCCAGUCUGAGGUGGUCUCAGAUGGAGAUGAGGAACUUGUUGGGAACUGGAGCAAAGGUGACUCUUGUUAUGUUUUAGCAAAGAGACUGGUGACAUUUUGCCCCUGCCCGAGAGAUUUGUGGAACUUUGAACUUGAGGGAGAUGAUUUAGGGUAUCUGGUGGAAGACAUUUCUUUUUUUUUUUUUGUGACGGAGUCUUGCAUUGUCGCCUGGGGUGGAGUGCAAUGGUCUGAUCUCAGCUUACUGGGUUCAAGCAAUUCUGUCUCAGCCUCCCGAGUAGCUGGGAUUACAGGCGUCCGCCACCACGCCCUUCUAAUUUUUUGUAUUUUUAGUAGAGACGGUUUCACUAUGUUGGCCAGUGGAAGACAUUUCUAAGCAGCAAAGCAUUCAAGAGGUGGCUUGGGUGUUGUUAAAGGCAUUCUGUUUUGACUGGGUGCGGUGGUGCACACCUAUAAUCCCAGCACUUUGGGAGGCCGAGGAGGGAGAAUCGCCUGGACCCGGGAGGUGGAGGUUCCAUUGAGCCAAGAUCAUGCCACUGACUCCAGCCUGGGCAACAGACUGAGACUCUGUCUCAAAAAAAAAGAAAAAAAAAAAGGCAUUCAGUUUUAUAAGGGAAGCAGAGCAUAAAAGUUUGGGAAAUUUGCAGCCUGACAAUGUGAUAGUAAAGAAAAUCCCAUUUUCUGAGAGGAAAUUCAAGCUGGCUGCAAAAAUUUGCAUAAGUACCAAGGAGCCGAAUGUUAAUAUCCAAGACAAUGGGGAAAAUAUCUCCCAGACAUGUCAGAGGUCUUCAUGGCAGCCCCUCCCAUCAACAGGUCCAGAGGCCUAGGAGGAAAAAGUGGUUUUGUGGGCAGCACCCAGGGUCCCCAUGCUAUGUGCAGCCUAGGGACUUGGUGCCGUGCGUCUCAGCUCCUCCAGUGGUGACUGAAAGGGGCCAACAUAGAGCUCGGGCUGCUGCUUCAUGGGGUGGAAGUCCCAAAUCUUGGCAGCUUCCAUGUGGUGUUGAGCCUGCGAGUACAUAGAAGUCAAGAAUUGGGGUUUGGGAACCUCCAUCUAGAUUUCAGAAGAUAUAUGGAAAUUCCUGGAUGCCCAGGCAGAAGUUUGCUGUAGGGGUGGGGCCUUCAUGGAGAACCUCUGCUAGAGCAGUGCAGAAGGGAAAUGUGGGGUCGGAGCCCCCACACAGAGUCCCCGCUGCGGCCCUGCCUGAUGGAGCUGUGAGAAGUGGACCACCGUUCUCCAGACCCCAGAAUGGUAGAUCCACCGACAGCUUGCACCGUGUGCCUGGAAAAGCUGCAGACACUCAAUGCCAGCCUAUGAAAGCAGCCUGGAGGGAGGCUUUACCCUGCAAAGCCACAGAAGUGGAGCUGCCCAAGACCAUGGGAAUCCACCUCUUGCAUCAGUGUGACCUGGAUGUGAGACAUGGAGUCAAAGGAUAUCAUUUUGAAGCUUUAAGAUUUGACUGCCCUGCUGGAUUUCAGACUUGCAUGGGUCCUGUAGCCCCUUUGUUUUGGCCAAUUUCUCCCAUUUGGAAUGGCUAUAUUUACCCAAUGCUUAUACCACCAUUCUAUCUAGGAAGUAAAUAACUUGCUUUUGAUUUUACAGGCUCAUAGGCAGAAGGGAUUUGCCUUGUCUCAGAUGAGACUUUGGACUGCGGACUUUUGAGUUAAUGCUGAAAUGAGUUAAGACUUCGGAGGACUAUUGGGAAGGCAUGAUUGGUUUUGAAAUGUGAGGACAUGAGAUUUGGGAGGGGCCAGGGGUGGAAGGAUACGGUUGGGUUCUGUGUCCCCACCCAAGUCUUAUCUUGUAGCUCCCAUAACCCAUGUGUCUUGGGAGGGACCUGGUAAUUCAAUCAUGUGGGCUGGAUGCGGUUGCUCAUGCCUGUAAUCCCAGCACUUUGGGAGGCCAAGGGGGAGAUCACUUGCGAUCAGGAGUUUGAGACCAGCCUGGCCAACAUGGUGAAACCCCAUCUAUACUAAAAAUACAAAAAUUAGCCAGGCACGGUGGUGGGCACCUGUAAUCCCAGCUACUUGGGAGGCUGAGGCAUGAGAAUCACUUGAACCUGGAGGCGGAGGUUGCAGUGAGCCGAGAUCGCACCACUGCACUCCAGCCUGGGCGUCAAAGUGAAACUUAGUCUUAAAAAAAAAAAAAAAAAGAAGAAUGGGAGUGGGUCUUUCCUGUGCUGUCCUCAUGAUAGAGAAUAAGUCUUACAAGAUCUGAUGGUUUUAAAAAUGAGAGUUAUUUCUCUCUUCUCUUGUCUGCCACCAUGUGAGUCAUGCCUUUCACCUUCCACCAUGAUUGUGAGGCCUCCCCAGCCACGUGGAACUGUAAGUCCAAUAAACCUCUUUCUUUUUUUUUUUUUUUUUUUUUUUUUUUGAGACGGAGUCUCACUCUGUUGCCCAGGCUGGAGUGCAGUGGCGCGAUCUCGGCUCACUGCAAGCUCCGCCUCCCAGGUUCACGCCAUUCUCCUGCCUCAGCCUCCCGUGUAGCAGGCAUUGUCACAGGCGCCUGCCACCACACCCACCUAAUUUUUUUGUAUUUUUAGUAGAGACGGGGUUUCACCGUGUUAGCCAGGGUGGUAUCGAUCUCCUGACCUUGUGAUCCGCCCACCUUGGGCUCCCAAAGUGUUGAGAUUACAGGCGUAAGCCACUGCACCCGGCAAUAAACCUCUUUCUUUUGUAAAUUGCCCAGGUAUGUCUUUAUCAGCAGCAUGAAAAUGGACUCAUACAAUGAUCCAUUACCUAGGGUAAAAUUCUCCUGAAUGUCAAACAGAGAUAAACUACAUUUGGGUUUUGGGUAAGUCCCCUGUAAUGAUGAAUCAAGAAUCCUCAAGUCUGUCUUGCCACCCAUUUAAUACGUAUUUUUGUUAAGGCUGAAGUUUAGAGUUAGAAUCAGGACAUUUUGGCCUAUUGAGAGGUUCUGAAUUCCAACAGAAGAUGCCAUGUAAAUCAGUGAAUUUGAUUCUUUUAAAAGCAACUUACAAAAUUUACAAGAUGUAUUCAAUAAAGCAGUUUAGCUUUGGUAUAUCAAACCUUAUAAUGAACCAUUUUUCCCACUUCAUCUUAUGCAAUGUUUAAUAUUUUCUAUUUUUGUCAAGGAUAUUAAACCUACACCUGGAAACAUAUUAAAUGCCAACUUAAAAUGUGAGAAGUUUGGCAGAACUCAGACCCAUUCUUCCAAUUUCCAAGCUGUUUAAUCACACUGAUUCAGACACUCUGGAUAGCAGCUGGGAUUGUAGUUAUCUUUAUGCUUUGAGCUCUCUAGUUUUGUCUACACAUCUUAUAAAAUAUCCCCUCCUCAUUCUCCUCUAGCUGGAACACUAACCCAAUGGAUGUUGUGGUGAACUUUCUUUGACCAGGCAGAGAAGUGCAGCAUUGGGUGGACCAUGCACAACCAGUUUGAGAAGCACUGCUCUAGGGGUUGGGGGAGCAACAAUAGAAAGAGUGUAGGUUCUGAAUACCUGAAGCAUACAUUUUAGCUCUAGACUGCUUAUAUUGUUGUUACAUGAAAGAGAACUUUUAAUCUGGUUUAAACCACUGGAUCUCUUUAUUCCAGCAAGUGAAUCUAUAUCCAACUAAUAUUUACUCCCAGUCUGUUCUUUCUCACCCCUCUUUCCCUUACUAUAAACCUUUUCUAUAUCAAUUUAUAUCAUUAGUUGCUCAGCCCACAAACCAGAUGUCACUUUUGUUUUCUCUUUUCCUUCCCAUUCAUAGCCAGGCCAUCGUUGUGACUUAUUGGCUGUACCUCCAAAAUAUAUCCCAGAUCUGAUCUCUUCUUAUAAUUUGUACUGCUACAACCUUAGUCAAAGCCACUAAUAUCUCUUAUCUGAACUCCAGUGGUUUACUAGUUUUCUGCCUCUCUUCUUGACACAAUUCAUCUUUCUACAUAGCAGCCAGAGUAAGAUAAAAUCAUAAAUCAGAUCAUAUAACUUCUACCCCCUGUACCAAUGGCUAUCUUUUAUACUCAGAAUAAAAUCCAAAACCUUUAUUUGGCUUCCAAGAUCCUACAAGAUAGAGACCUUACUUCUCAUCUUGUACCCAUCAUUUGAUCUUCAGUCCCUUGAAAAUGCCAAGUCUAUUUCCAUUUCAGGGCCUUUGUGCUUGUUACUAUUGUUUCUUUUCUCUUGGAAAACUGCCCAGAUCUUUCCUUAGCUGAAUUAUUCAGAUCCCAACUCAAAUAUCAUCUCUUUAGAAAAUUCUUUCAGAACCAGGUGUGGUGGUGCACACCUGUAAUCUCAGCUACUCGAGUGGCUGAGGCUGAUGGAUUUCUUGAGCCCAGAAGUCUGAGGCCAGCCUGGGCAAUAUAGCAAGAUCCUGUCAAAAAGAAAAAGGUAUCUCACCAUGAUUAUAUUUUAAUUUCCCUUCAGCAAUUAGAAGUCCCUGAAAUUAAUUUACCUUAUUUGUUGGCAACCUCUGCCUCCUGGGUUCAAGCGAUUCUCCUGCCUCAGCCUCCUGAGUAGCUGGGAUUACAGGCGUGCACCACCACGCCUGGCUAAAUUUUGUAUUUUUAGUAGAGAUGGGGUUUUGCCGUGUUGGUCAGGCUGGUCUCGAACUCCUGACCUCUGAUCUGCCCACCUCGGCCUUCCAGAGUGCUGGGAUUACAGGCAUGAGCCACCAUGGGCCCACAAAGCUAUUUUACUUAGCAUUUUUUUUCCCGAGGCUAAAUUGGGAACUACUGACAAUACUAUUGACAAUACUAAAUAUAUUUUUAAAUUAUUUUACUUAUUUUUGAGACAGGGUCUCACUGUGUCACCCACGCUGUAGUGCAGUGAACCAUCACCACUCACUGCAGUCUCACCCUUCCUGAACUCAGGUGAUCCUCCCACCUCAGCCUCCUGAGUAGCUGGGACUACAGGCAUGCACCACCAUGCCUGGCUAAUUUUUAAAAUUUUUUGUAGAGAUGGAGUUUCGCCAUGUUGCCCAGGCUGGUCUCAAACUUCUGGGUUCAAGUGAUGCAAGUGUCUCAGCCUCCUAAAGUGCUAGGAUUACAGGCGUAAGCCACUAUGCCCAGCCUUUUAUUUUAUUUUAUUUUAUUUAUUUAUUUUUUGAGACAGAGUCUUGUUCUGUUGCCCAGGCUAGAGUGCAGUGGUGCAAUCUCAGCUCACUGCAACCUCUGCCUCCCAGGUUCAAGCGAUUAUCAUGUCUCAGCCUCCCUAGUAGCUGGGAUUACAAGUGUGCACCACACGCGGCUAAUUUUUGUAUUUUUUGUAGAGGCAGAGAGGCAGGGUUUUAUUAUGUUGGCCAAGCUGGUCUUGAACUCCUGGCCUCAAGUGAUCUGCUCACCCCGGCCUCCCAAAGUGCUGAGAUUACAGGUGUGAGCCACCAUGCCCACCAACCUAUUUUUUAUUUUAAAAAAUUGACAGCAUACUAAAUGUUUGUAAUGCAAAUGAUAAAAUUGCUACAAUGAAAACAAGAAGUUGAGAAUUAGAUGAAGAGUUGAUUAAGGGAACUAUGAGUCACUGUGUUAGAGCAUGUAUAUUAUGAAAAUUAUAGCAGAAGUGAUAAAGGGUGACAAUUGUUACCUAUCUUCAAUCAAAAGCUCUUUGAAUAUCUUUCUUUUUUUUAAUUUUAUGAAUUUUUUUUACAGAGACAGGGUCUCACUAUAUUGCCCAGGUUGGUCUCGAACUCCUGGGCUCAAGGGAUCCUCUUGCCUUGGCCUCACAAAGUACCUGGAUUACAGGCAUGAGCCACAGUGCCUGGCCCUCUUUGAAUAUCUUUAAUGCUUUUAGAGAUUAGCAUCAGAGAAUUAUUAAUACUAGAGGGCACAAGGAAUUAGCCAUUGCCAGUGGACACCUACAUAGGUGUGACUAUGUGACUCAGUUUUAAAAAUGUGACACAAUGAAAAAAUUCCUUGGAUGUUAUGGAGGACGAAAAUUUUGUAAGUCCUAUCCAUUCUUUAAUGGAGAAACUAAAAUUUACAAUAUUACUUUAUUUAGCCCAAGAUUUUCUUAAGCUUUGUAUUUUCUAAUUCAGCUUUGGCUUACAGAAUCAUGCUUGAAGUUUGAGACUGCCAGCUUUCAACAGGCAGUUACUAGUGAAACUCUUUGGAAAGAUGAGAAGAUGUUGACAUAAGUGUAAUGUGAGACAAAGCAAAGUAAAAUGUAAUUUUUAAGAAAAUGUUGCCGGGUGUGAUGGUGGCUCAUGUUGCUGUUGGUUGCUAUGGGAGUGAACGAAGGGGGACGAAUGCAGAAAUGAAGACAAAGACAAAAAGAGUAUUUUUGGAAGAAGGGGUCAGGGGACUCCUUGCUUCUAGUGGGCAAGGGCCCUGAGCUUCUACAGCCCUUCAUAUUUAUUAGGUAGAAAGAGCAGGGAGGGAGAGGUAACAGUUGGUCAGCUGCUUGAUUUAUCACAGGUACACAUAAUUGCUUCCUUUGUACAACAGGCUUCAGAUGUUACUAUAGAUAAUCACAAGGAACACUGCGCUUGGGGCAUGACUGCCCUCAGCAACCCUUCUGGCGGCAGACACAGUUGUUAGUUUUCCAACAUCCUGCUUUCAUGAGAACAGUUUUCUGUUUGCUCAUAUAGCCUUCAGUGGUAUACUGAGUUGGUCACGACCUUCAUUCUUUCGGCCUGUAACAUCUCCCCAUUUUUGUUUUUGCAUUAAUUGAAUAAAGGUAAUUGCAGGUUGUGCAGCUCUCAAUUGCCGUUUGGUGGUCCAGCUGAUUUUGCAGACUGUUAACAAAAAACAAAAAUAUAAUAACAUUAAUCCCAUAGUUACAAAAAAGACAUUGAGAUGCUAUUUGAAGUAGGUCCCAGGGUUAAGGCUGUCUAAACCUUGCUGGAAUUCUGCCCAAGCUUUUAAAGAGGGCUGAAACGCUUGAGUCUGCUUAUUCAAGUUAAGGAUUUUACUUUGUAAAUCAUUAAUAUCAAAAGUAACAUUGAAUGUGAAAGCUCCCUGUAAAUGGGCUUUUACAAGGCUCAAUGGAUAUUCACUUUGGUUAUAUACCAAAUUGGUCACACAAAUAUGAGUAUGAUUAAAAUGACAACGCAUUGCUGCUGCAACUGCAAACUUUGUACUUGUUCCCCUAGCCAUAGAACAGUAGUCUUUAACAUUGCCACCUCUGUUUGUAUUUCGGUGUUAAUUUUAUUUUGAAGCAUCCAUGCCUGGUCGACUGUGCAUGUCCAGUUUUCCACAUAUUGAGCUGUUUGAAUGGAGCUGUGCGUUGCUGCUGAGGACAACACAACAGAGGUUAUUAAUGUAACUAAGGAGACUAUAACAAAAAUUAUCAUGCCUAAGGCUCUAUGAGCACGAUGAGUAAGCGGAGUAAAAAGGAGUUUCAUAAGAUGUAAAGCGGGGGUGGCUGCCCAAGGCUAAGAUAAAUUUACAGGAAUUCAUAAUCCAGGAACAUGACCUAGAAUUGUUAGGGUGGAUAUGUCAUGUGUUUGUAUUGUGCUAUGAUUAAGGCAAUGAUACAGUUGACAGGAAUCACAAGUCAAUUGGGCAUCAUCUACCUGGAGGUGGGUUUUUUUUGCUGCUAAGAAAAUAUAAGGAUUAAAAACAAAUUGUAAAUUGAGUGGUAAUAUUUUCUACAAGGGUAACAUUAAAACUGUGUUUAGCACAAUUACUAUUAUUGGAUAGUGUCCCAAUCCAAAUGCUGCCAUUCAUAAAUGGGAGUGCUGCUUUCCAUAUUGACUCCUGAAUUGGACCUCUCUUUCCUUGAUAAUGCCAUUGAGGCAAAGGUGAGCUAAAGCAUGUGCUGUGUCAAGCAAUUUGGGCAGCAGAUUGAGAUUGAAUUGCAAUGUGAUGUAGUGGGAGAUGUUAAAGUUUUGCCACCAGUUCCAGCAAAGUUAAUGCCAUGAGGUCUGAUGCUCAUGUCUCCCAACCAAAUGACCAUGGGGACCCCAGUAAAUAAUGUCUCCCAUUAGCAUGGACUGUUGUCUAGCUAGGGAGCUAAGACACGGGGUCCAAGGAGGGGGGUUAGAAUUAUCAAAGGGAGCCCAUUCUAUAUAAUUAAUACAAUUUGGGUGAUGGGGCCGGGAGUGAUUAGUAACUACACCAGUAAUAUUAGUAGAACUAAGGCCCAAUAGGUACGUAAAUUUUCCAUGGUAACUCAACCAUGCCUGGGAUUGAAUUGCAAGGCAACUGCAGUUGAGCAGUGUAUCCUGGGUGAUGCAUAAAGAAAGGCCCUCCAAUGGAGUGGUAUAAUUGAUACCAUUGUUCUGAGAGUCUAAUUGCUCUGUGUCAGGGGGAGUUAAGGGUCCCGGUGCCCAUGCUCCUUGAUCAUGAUAUAUCUCAGGAGGAGUGUCACCCCGGUCAUACUACCGGGGGGUUAGGAACAUAAGCCCAAUAUGUUUUUGCCUCUGCACAGGGAAAACAUAGCACACAGGAUAUCAUAGCUAGCAUGGCCAUAAACAUGGAGUCAGGGGUUUUUGCCUGACCCUGAUGCUCCAGCAGUUUCUCAUCUUCUUGUGUGGUUUUCUUGAUCUGUAAAACACAAGCAUACCCUCAUCCCCAUGUCAGUAAAUCUACCAGGCCUUUCCAUUGUCCUUCUUCCAGGGAUUUCCAUAAUACUUUUGGGUAAACUUUCCUUUUUCCCUCUAACAUUUGCCAGUGUCAUUCUACCGGAGUCUUAUUAUCUGUACCAGGAGUUAAAAAAUUUAAAGUAAAUAAUGCUAAAUGUAGUAUUGUUUGAGGUGGUAACUGGUCUCCUAUACCUCCUUUUUGUUUUUUCAGCGCAUGUUGUAAUGUUUGAUGUGCCUGCUCUAUAAUUCCUUGUCCUCGAGGGUUAUAAGGAAUUCUUGUUUUGUGAGUGACUGCCUAUAACUGUAAACAAUUUUGAAAAGCAUGACUAACUUAAGCAGGUCCAUUGUCAGUUUUUAAUUGUUUAGGGACCCUCAUAUCGGCAAAUGACAACAGACAAUGUCAUUGGACAUGGCCAGCUGUUUCACCUGUUUGACAUGUAGCAUGCAGCAUAUGAGAAUAAGUGUCUAUAGUCAUAUGAACAUAGCUAAGUUUGUCAAAGGCUGCUAUAUGUGUAACAUCAAUUUGCCAGAUUUCAUUUGGAGCUAAGCCUCGUGGGUUACAUCCUUCUACCGGUAUAACACCAGGGACAUGCUGACAAGUGGGGCAGGCUUGCACAAUAGCUCGAGCCUGGCUUCGAGGCAGAUGAAACAUACAAGUAAGGGCAGAGGUGUUUUGAUGCAGUAAUGCAUGAGAGGCUUCAGCUUGCUGAAACACAGAACCAAUCAAUUUAUCUGCUCUAUCAUUACCUAGAGGUAGUGGUCCAGGAAGUUGUGUGUCAGAGCGAAUAUGAGAAAUUUGAAAAGGAGCAGCAUGAGAGCAAACAGCUCGCUGAAGUCUUAGAAACAAGUUAAACAGCUCUGGUUCUAGGGUGCUUUUAAUAGUAGCAGUCUCAAUGCGACUGGCUACAUUUACAACAUAGGCUAAAUCACAGACAAUAUUAAUAGGAGAGGAAGCAGUGAGCUGUAAAACCUGAAUAACUGCCAUUAAUUCUGAGCAUUGAGCUGAAACACCAGGGAUUUUUAUUGUUUUAAUAUGCUUAGGUCCAUAAAUAGAUGCUCAGACUUUGGAAGAGCCGUCAGUGAAAUAAGUCUGGCCACCUGGAAUAGGCUUGUGAUGAGUAAUCACAGGGAGGAUAAAAGGGUAAACUUUAUAAAAUUGCAAAACUUUGUCUGAUGGAUAAUGAUUAUCUAUUAUUCCUUUGCUUCAGCCAACAUCGUAGAGCGAUGAAGCUCAGUUCCCACAUCCUGACAAGCUUUGAUAAAAUUUCCUAAGCUUUUUAUACAUCUCACAGAUGCCAAUGCAUGUUUACAGUCCGUGUUUGCAUUCUCAAAAGCUAGUUAAGGUUAGCAUUUCUGUAGCCAUGGUAAGAGAAAUCUGACACUUCACUGCCUAUGGUAAUCUUGCAAGAAAAUGUGCAUAGAGCUCCUGUGACCCUUUCAUGAUAUGUAAGAGAUUGUACUGGGACCCUUUCCUCUGGAAUUGUGGCCCAGGUGCGUUUAACAGCCAAGGCACACUGCUUACAAGCAGCGUCUGGGAGUGCUAUUUGAUGUUCUAGGUCUGAAUAGGGGCCACUGCCUAACAGCAUCCUCUGUAAUGUCUCUGUGUCCAGCAGCACGAUUCUAUCUAGCCUGGUCUGCACACAGUUCUUGCCAAUUUAAAUACCAUAUCAGGUAUGCACUAGCAGACAAACAAGUGCAAGCCAAAUGCUUUACAUCAAAGGGUGGAAGGCGCAUAGCGCCAAAUAGAUUCUAGCAGUCCUAAAGUAAAUGGGCUUUGUAUUCCAUUAUUAACUACACUAGCUUUUAAUUCCUUCAGCAACUUAAAUUCUAGUGGGGUGUGUUCAUGAAUAAACUGCUGUGGAUUAUGUGGAUCAGGCCUUACGGAAAUAGGAAAAGCUCAAGGUCCUAAGGGUUCUCCAGCCAUAGCAGUAGAGUGUAAAGUUCUUUGUAUUGGGGUCUCUAUUUCUGCUACUGAAGGAGGCGGUUCAGAUGUUUCUGCUACUAGAGGGGGUGACACAGGCCAAUUUUCAUCCUCCUGCUCCUGUUUAUUAUUUUUAAUUGGCGCUGUUGAGAGAACAGAAAGAUUCUUUCAAAUUUUUUGACUCUGAACAUGACUCCUGCUGUCUAGCAGAAUAAGAAAUGAAUAAUGGCAGGAUGAACUAAACUCCAAAUAUAAAAAAGAAAAUAGCCAAAUUCUUCCCCCAUGUUACCCUGAUUCAGAAACUUCCCGUUCCCAGUACCUCUUUAGGGCACUGACCUUAUAUUAGCUGUCAGCAGACUCGUCGCAGGGUUUCUCAUUCUCGUUCUUCUUGUCAGUGUCAGUUUCUCUGCUCCAGCAGACCUUCACUCACGUCCCUGUCCUAGGUGCCAGUUGUCGCUGUUGGUUGUUAUGGGAGUGAACGAAGGGGGAUGAAUGCAGAAACGAAGACAAAGACAAAAAGUAUUUUUGGAAGAAGGGGUCAGGGGGCUCCUUCUAGUGAGCAAGGGCCCUGAGCUUCUACAGCCCUUCGUAUUUAUUAGGUAGAAAGAGCAGGGAGGGAGAGGUAGCAGUUGGUCAGUUGCUUGAUUUAUCACAGGUAUACAUAAUUGCUUUCUUUGUACAACAGGCUUCAGAUGUUCCUAUAGAUAAUCACAAGGAACACUGUGCUUGGGGUGUGACUGCCCUCAGCAACCCUUCUGGCAGCAGACACAGUUGUUAGUUUUCCAACAUCCUGCUUUCAUGAGAACAGUUUUCUAUUUGCUCAUAUAGCCUCCAGUGGUAUACUGAGUUGGUCACGACCCUCAUUCUUUCGGCCUGUAACAGGCUCAUGCCUGUAAUGCCAGCACUUUUGGAGGCCGAGGCAAGAGGAUAGCUUGAGCUCAGGAGUUGGAGACCAGCCUGGGCAACACGGUGAAACCCCAUCUCUGCAAAAAUUAGCCUGGUGUGGUGGGGUGCGCCUGUAGUCUCAGCUGCUUGUGGGGCUGAGGCGGGAGAAUAGCUUGAGCUCCAGGGGUCGAGGCUGCAGUGAGCCAUAAUGGUGCUGCUGCAUUCCAGCCUGGGUGACAAAGUGAGACUAUCUCAAAAAAAAAAACGGCUGUUAGAUAAAAAUGAAGACAAACAACAUUUGCAAGGAUAUAAAUCUUAACCCAUUUAUUGGGGGUAUAGGCUCUGGUGUCAGAUUUCCAUCUGUCCUGUAUUUUGUAACCACAAAAUUGUCCUGGCUGGAUUAAUUGUAAGGAAGUCCCUUUAAACACAUCUAGACUUCCAAAGUUUGUUUACAUACUAAUUAGUUGUCAUGAAAAGCUGCAUUCAACCCAGGGUCUGAGAUGCCUUUUGUAUAUGAAAAGUGCUUCUCUUUCUGACACUGACUGAAUUACAUACAUAACAGAUUCAUUUAUUUAAAAACAAUUUAAGAGGCUUUUUCUAUAAUGCUGAACCUGCUGUGUGGUAUUUAUGUUUAAUUCUGGUCAAAUUUUCAAAACUAAUAAACACUGCAAUUCAAAACCAUUAAUUAUCAAGCAUAGACCAAGUAUCUGAGGUUAUGAGCACAUAUUUAAGAGGUUAGACUCUGGCAUUCCAGACAUUGCAAAUAAUACUUUUCUCAUUUCUAAAUUUCCUAGAAACAAGUGGAGAUUUGUAAAAGGAAAUAAUACUCUUUAAAACAUUUAUUUUUGACUCAGGAUCUGGCUCUGUUGCCCUAGCUAGAGUGCAGUGGUGCCAUCAUCACAGCUCACACAAUAGCCUGGAACUACUGGGCUCAAACCAUCCUCCCACCUCAGCCUCCCAAGUAGCUGGGACUGCAGAUGCAGGCCAUCAUGUCCCGCUAAGUUUUAUUUUAUUUUUGUAGAGACAGAGUCUAUGUUGCUCAGGCUGGUCCUGAACUCCCGGCAUCAAGUGAUCCUCCCACCUCCCAAUAAAACAUGUACUGAUGGCCAGGCACUUGGCUCACGCCUGUAAUCCCAGCACUUUGGGAGGCCGAGGCGGGCAGAUCAUGAGGUCAAGAGAUCAAGACCAUUCUGGCCAACAUGGUGAAACCCUGUCUCUACUAAAAAUACAAAAAUUAGCCAGGUGUGGUGGCACGCGCCGGUAGUCUCAGCUACUCCGGAGGCCGAGGCAGGAUAAUUGCUUGAACCCCAGAGGCGGAGGUUGCAGUGAGCCGAGAUCGUGCCACUGCACUCCAGCCUGGCGACAGAGCAAGACUCUGUCUCAAAAAAAAAAAAAAAACCAAAAACCAAAAAAUCAAAACCAAAACCAUGUAUUGAUAUCAAAGUUUUUUUAUCCUGGCAGGGCACAGUGGCUCACGCCUGUAAUCCCAGCACUUUGGGAGGCUGAGGCAGGUGGAUCACGAGGUCAGGAGUUCAAGACCAGCCUGGCCAAGAUGGUGAAGACCCGUCUCUACUAAAAAUACAAAAAUUAGCCAGGCGCAGUGGCAGGCGCCUGUAAUCCCAGCUACUCGGGAGGCUGAGGCAGGAGAAUCGUUUGAAACCAGGAGGGUAGAGGUUGCAGUGAGCCAAGAUUGUGCCACUGUACUCCAGCCUGGGUGACAGAGUGAUACUAUGUCUCAAAAAAAAAAAAAAAAAAAAAAGAAAAAGAAAAAAGAAAGAAAGUUGCUUUAUCUUUAAAACUAUAUAUAUUGUUUUCACCCCUACAUAGUCCUUGCCUCCCAGACAUCUCCUCACUAACGUCAGUAGACAAUUUGGCAUCUGAUGGUUUGAAAUAGUUUCUGUAAUCAAAUCCUGAAUAAAAUCCAUUUUAAAGC